RNAcentral lists this ribosomal RNA (278 nucleotides) under uncultured soil bacterium. RNAcentral's name for it is "partial 16S ribosomal RNA". It matches the Rfam family "Bacterial small subunit ribosomal RNA", at positions 26 to 316 of the family's 1533-position model. The record is from RNAcentral.
AGAUUGAACGCUGGCGGCAUGCCUAACACAUGCAAGUCGAACGGGAGUAGCAAUACUCUAGUGGCGGACGGGUGAGGAAUACGUAGGAAUUUGCCCUUAAGUGGGGGAUAACCCGGGGAAACCCGGAUUAAUACCGCAUGACCUCGAAAGAGCAAAGUGGGGGAUCGCAAGACCUCACGCUUUUGGAGAAGCCUACGUCGGAUUAGCUAGUUGGUGAGGUAAUGGCUCACCAAGGCGACGAUCCGUAACUGGUCUGAGAGGAUGAUCAGUCACACCGG